RNAcentral lists this ribosomal RNA (254 nucleotides) under uncultured bacterium. RNAcentral's name for it is "partial 16S ribosomal RNA". It matches the Rfam family "Bacterial small subunit ribosomal RNA", at positions 524 to 776 of the family's 1533-position model. The record is from RNAcentral.
UACGUAGGGGGCUAGCGUUGUCCGGAUUUAUUGGGCGUAAAGAGCGUGUAGGCGGCCAGGUAGGUCUGGUGUGAAAACCCGAGGCUUAACCUCGUGGCUUGCGGUGGAUACGGGCAGACUAGAGGUAGGUAGGGGAGAAUGGAAUUCCCGGUGUAGCGGUGAAAUGCGCAGAUAUCAGGAGGAACACCGAUGGCGAAGGCAGGUCUCUGGGCCAUAACUGACGCUGAGAGGCGAAAGCAUGGGGAGCGAACAGG